Molecule: long non-coding RNA, 442 nt
Organism: Macadamia integrifolia
Lineage: Eukaryota; Viridiplantae; Streptophyta; Magnoliopsida; Proteales; Proteaceae
Exons: 4
Source: RefSeq, a predicted model, not a curated record
CAACAAAUGCAAUUUUAACUGCAUGUUUUCAUUCAUCUUCAAGGAUCAUGAUUGCUGAUCUAUCAUUCCUUCUUGGUUUUGAGAAGAUUGAAGUUGAUGACAGUGAAGGCUCAAGCAGUGAAGAUGAUAUGACUUCUGAAAAGCCCCACGUUGUUAUUAGCAGGGAGGAUGUCUACAAGGCACAUAACAAAGGUACAUCUAGAAGUAAGAAGAAAAAGUUAGCAAAACUGGAGCAUGCCACCCGAAGCAUGGAAAGGUAGCAGAGAAUUUCUCAAACCAAGAAUUCAAGUUGUUAUUCACCACUUGGCCAUUUGAAAGAUGCACAGGGAUUUGCAGAGAAGCUGUUUUCUCGUCUUCAAGCUUGUAAUGAAUGUUUUGAGGUACAUGAUGUGCAACUUCUUCUUCUUCUUCAUCUUUUGGGUAGUAUCUUCUGCAUUUCUGC